GGAGAGUUGUCCGAGUUGGCCGAAGGAGCACGAUUGGAAAUCGUGUAGGCAUUUAUUAAAUGUCUCAAGGGUUCGAAUCCCUUACUCUCCG
Molecule: transfer RNA, 91 nt
Filed under: Ruoffia tabacinasalis
Lineage: Bacteria; Bacillati; Bacillota; Bacilli; Lactobacillales; Aerococcaceae
Also listed under: 5 other names
Description: tRNA-Ser
Rfam family: tRNA
About the family: Transfer RNA (tRNA) molecules are approximately 80 nucleotides in length. Their secondary structure includes four short double-helical elements and three loops (D, anti-codon, and T loops).
Source: RNAcentral